GUGCUUGUAGCUCAGUUCGGAAGAGCGAUUGACUUCGAAUCAAUAGGUCAUGGGAUCGAAACCCUUCAGGCACA
Dictyostelium discoideum AX4 is the source of this 74-nucleotide transfer RNA. It matches the Rfam family "tRNA". Rfam says of the family: Transfer RNA (tRNA) molecules are approximately 80 nucleotides in length. Their secondary structure includes four short double-helical elements and three loops (D, anti-codon, and T loops). NCBI's taxonomy places the organism in Eukaryota, Evosea, Eumycetozoa, Dictyosteliales, Dictyosteliaceae. The record is from Rfam.